RNAcentral lists this ribosomal RNA (253 nucleotides) under uncultured bacterium. RNAcentral describes it as "partial 16S ribosomal RNA". It matches the Rfam family "Bacterial small subunit ribosomal RNA", at positions 524 to 776 of the family's 1533-position model. The record is from RNAcentral.
UACGGAGGGGGCUAGCGUUGUUCGGCAUCACUGGGCGUAAAGCGUACGUAGGCGGCUAUUCAAGUCAGGGGUGAAAGCCUGGGGCUCAACCCCGGAACUGCCUUUGAAACUAGGUAGCUAGAACACGGGAGAGGUGAGUGGAAUUCCGAGUGUAGAGGUGAAAUUCGUAGAUAUUCGGAAGAACACCAGUGGCGAAGGCGGCUCACUGGACCGUUGUUGACGCUGAGGUACGAAAGCGUGGGGAGCAAACAGG